Molecule: long non-coding RNA, 1631 nt
Organism: Oncorhynchus tshawytscha (Chinook salmon)
Lineage: Eukaryota; Metazoa; Chordata; Actinopteri; Salmoniformes; Salmonidae
Exons: 4
Source: RefSeq, a predicted model, not a curated record
GAUAAUGAACACUACCUGGGUUUUGUUUUGAGAUGGGCCUAUAUGGGGUUGUUGUUGAAUAAUUACCCGGUUCGUCACAUGAAUAGGAAGGCCUUGUCUGCACCAUCAUGGCAGACGGGGAAGAGGCGCUUUAGCAGCCUGACCAGAAGGCAAGGACACAUGGAUGGGUUCCAGCUGCUACCCUUCCCUGAGCACCUAGAACAGGUCAAUUGGGAGACUGGGGCUAACAGCACAGGCACAUUGCCCCUGUGUGGCCCAAACUCUCCACAGACCCUGGACACAGCAGCUGAUAUCAUAUGGACUGCACAGGAGGAAGAGGCAGUGGCCUCUGACUUUGGAGACCUGCUGGGGGUUGGGGGACCUCGACCUCUCCGCCCCACUGCCCUCUCGAGGGUAUCAUGGAAUGGGACUGGCAGCCAACAGAAUGAAAGAGGGGAAGAGGAGAGACUAGAGAAGGUGAAGACCAGCCACAGCAGACAAGACAGUCCAGCUGCUGCUACCAACUAUACAGAGUCAAAGAUUGUCCUGUAAGCUUUCCCAAAAGCUUGACAUUUCUCUACUGGCGCUGCCGAAUUGGAUCCUUUUUGGAGGCGCAGCUGCAGGAGCCUUCCUCCCAUGAGGCAGCGAUGGCAUCGGCAGCAGAGUGUGGUGCCUCCUCUUUCUCCCCUUGCCCUCCAGACAGACCAGGACAAACUUCAACCUGAGUAAAGAUGUGACCUGUGGCAUCUGCAUGAAGACGGUGUACGAGAAGACCAGCGCUGGGGAUAGGCGCUUCAGCAUCCUGCCAAUCCUUCUGCCUGAGCUACAGUGUCACCUGGAGAAAAAAAAACUUCCAGGAAGAAGUUACAAAGGGUUGCUAAAAGUGCAGAGUCAAGUCGGCGUUUUACAUCCCCAACAAGUACUGGGUGGAAGGACAACCAAAGGAAACCCUUAUCCGUAACUUUAAAUAUAAAUGCAGGUCAGCUUUUACCAUUCUCUCGACCAGAUGACACUAUGGAUUUCCGGGGUUCUGACAUCCUAGUUUGAUUGUGGUAAACCAAUGCUCUGUUUCAACUCCAGAAAAUAAGAUGUAGUUUCUUCAUGUGUCAUGGAUGCUGUCCCUUCAAGAUGGAGUGUCUCUGUUGGUAUGACCUGCCUCAAGGCUACAGACCCCAUCGCCACCACGAUCAUCUUGUGGUAUUUCAAUGAUCGUAUUAAUGUCACACACACACACAGUUCAACAUAGAUAAAUGUAAACUGAAACAGAUAUUUGUGAUAUUGAAUGGAUAUUGAAUGGAUCCCAGGGCUGUGUGGGUUGUUGCUUGGAGUCAUCCUCUUAGACCUGUGAUUGGCUGUUCUCUUGCUGUUGAUGGGUUUUGGUUCCAUCCAAGUUGAUGGGUUAAUGAAUUAGUUGGCUAAUUGAUGUGAUGGGCUCCGACCCAUUGGUUUGCCAUCUGUUGUUCCAUUGGGUGGUCCUGUUGUGCCAAUAUUGUCAUUUGCACCAUUUAGUAAGUUAGUGAGAUUUGAAUAAUGCUGUGAUGUGUAGUGUAUAUAUUUUAUGUAAGUCUAGAUUGAAAGUAUACUUUGCCUUGCAUUUUUCACUUGUCUGACAUGUUUGAGAUGCUUAUUUAAAAAAAAAUAUAUAUAUAUAU